This 422-nucleotide ribosomal RNA is filed under the name uncultured cyanobacterium. RNAcentral's name for it is "bacterial SSU rRNA". It matches the Rfam family "Bacterial small subunit ribosomal RNA", at positions 358 to 795 of the family's 1533-position model. The record is from RNAcentral. Lineage: Bacteria; Bacillati; Cyanobacteriota.
GGAAUUUUCCGCAAUGGGCGAAAGCCUGACGGAGCAACGCCGCGUGAGGGAUGAAGGCCUCUGGGCUGUAAACCUCUUUUAUCAAGGAAGAAGAUCUGACGGUACUUGAUGAAUAAGCCACGGCUAAUUCCGUGCCAGCAGCCGCGGUAAUACGGGAGUGGCAAGCGUUAUCCGGAAUUAUUGGGCGUAAAGCGUCCGCAGGCGGCCCUUCAAGUCUGCUGUUAAAAAGUGGAGCUUAACUCCAUCGUGGCAGUGGAAACUGUUGGGCUUGAGUGUGGUAGGGGCAGAGGGAAUUCCCGGUGUAGCGGUGAAAUGCGUAGAUAUCGGGAAGGGCACCAGUGGCGAAGGCGCUCUGCUGGGCCAUCACUGACGCUCAUGGACGAAAGCCAGGGGAGCGAAAGGGAUUAGAUACCCCCGUAGUC